UACGUAGGGGGCAAGCGUUGUCCGGAAUCAUUGGGCGUAAAGAGCGUGUAGGCGGUCCGGUCAGUCGGUUGUGAAAGUCAAGGGCUCAACCCUUGAAUGCCGGCCGAUACUGCCGGGCUAGAGUCCGGAAGAGGUGAGUGGAAUUCCUGGUGUAGCGGUGAAAUGCGCAGAUAUCAGGAGGAACACCGGUGGCGAAGGCGGUUCUCUGGGCCUGUACUGACGCUGAGGAACGAAAGCGUGGGGAGCGAACAGG
This 253-nucleotide ribosomal RNA is filed under the name uncultured bacterium. Its description in RNAcentral is "partial 16S ribosomal RNA". It matches the Rfam family "Bacterial small subunit ribosomal RNA", at positions 524 to 776 of the family's 1533-position model. The record is from RNAcentral.